UUGAACGCUGGCGGCAGGCCUAACACAUGCAAGUCGAGCGGAUGAGAGGAGCUUGCUCCUUGAUUUAGCGGCGGACGGGUGAGUAAUGCCUAGGAAUCUGCCUGGUAGUGGGGGAUAACGUUCCGAAAGGAACGCUAAUACCGCAUACGUCCUACGGGAGAAAGCAGGGGACCUUCGGGCCUUGCGCUAUCAGAUGAGCCUAGGUCGGAUUAGCUAGUUGGUGAGGUAAUGGCUCACCAAGGCGACGAUCCGUAACUG
RNAcentral lists this ribosomal RNA (258 nucleotides) under uncultured bacterium. RNAcentral's name for it is "partial 16S ribosomal RNA". It matches the Rfam family "Bacterial small subunit ribosomal RNA", at positions 30 to 289 of the family's 1533-position model. The record is from RNAcentral.